This 55-nucleotide transfer RNA is filed under the name Thismia tentaculata. Its description in RNAcentral is "tRNA-Met". Lineage: Eukaryota; Viridiplantae; Streptophyta; Magnoliopsida; Dioscoreales; Thismiaceae. The record is from RNAcentral.
UGCGAAAUAGAGCAGUUUUACGGAAACUCGCAAGGCUCAUAACCUUGAAAUCACA